GACUCCUACGGGAGGCAGCAGUGGGGAAUAUUGGACAAUGGGCGGAAGCCUGAUCCAGCCAUGCCGCGUGUGUGAAGAAGGCUUUCGGGUUGUAAAGCACUUUCAGUGGGGAAGAAGGCUUGCCGGUCAAUACCCGGUAAGAAGGACAUCACCCACAGAAGAAGCACCGGCUAACUCCGUGCCAGCAGCCGCGGUAAUACGGAGGGUGCGAGCGUUAAUCGGAAUUACUGGGCGUAAAGCGCGCGUAGGUGGCGUGAUAAGCCGGUUGUGAAAGCCCCGGGCUCAACCUGGGAACGGCAUCCGGAACUGUCAGGCUAGAGUGCAGGAGAGGAAGGUAGAAUUCCCGGUGUAGCGGUGAAAUGCGUAGAGAUCGGGAGGAAUACCAGUGGCGAAGGCGGCCUUCUGGACUGACACUGACACUGAGGUGCGAAAGCGUGGGUAGCAAACAGGAUUAGAUACCCUGGUAGUCCACGCCGUAAACGAUGUCGACUAGCCGUUGGGUUCCUUGAGAACUUAGUGGCGCAGUUAACGCGAUAAGUCGACCGCCUGGGGAGUACGGCCGCAAGGUUAAAACUCAAAUGAAUUGACGGGG
This 592-nucleotide ribosomal RNA is filed under the name uncultured Halomonas sp. Its description in RNAcentral is "bacterial SSU rRNA". It matches the Rfam family "Bacterial small subunit ribosomal RNA", at positions 334 to 918 of the family's 1533-position model. The record is from RNAcentral. Lineage: Bacteria; Pseudomonadati; Pseudomonadota; Gammaproteobacteria; Oceanospirillales; Halomonadaceae.